GAUGAACGCUGGCGGCGUGCCUAAUACAUGCAAGUCGAGCGAACAGACGAGGAGCUUGCUCCUCUGACGUUAGCGGCGGACGGGUGAGUAACACGUGGAUAACCUACCUAUAAGACUGGGAUAACUUCGGGAAACCGGAGCUAAUACCGGAUAAUAUAUUGAACCGCAUGGUUCAAUAGUGAAAGACGGUUUUGCUGUCACUUAUAGAUGGAUCCGCGCCGCAUUAGCUAGUUGAUAAGGUAACGGCUUACCAAGGCAACGAUGCGUAGCCGACCUGAGAGGGUGAUCGGCCACACUGGAACUGAGACACGGUCCAGACUCCUACGGGAGGCAGCAGUAGGGAGUCUUCCGCAAUGGGCGAAAGCCUGACGGAGCAACGCCGCGUGAGUGAUGAAGGUCUUCGGAUCGUAAAACUCUGUUAUUAGGGAAGAACAAAUGUGUAAGUAACUAUGCACGUCUUGACGGUACCUAAUCAGAAAGCCACGGCUAACUACGUG
RNAcentral lists this ribosomal RNA (497 nucleotides) under uncultured bacterium. Its description in RNAcentral is "partial 16S ribosomal RNA". It matches the Rfam family "Bacterial small subunit ribosomal RNA", at positions 28 to 507 of the family's 1533-position model. The record is from RNAcentral.